RNAcentral lists this long non-coding RNA (341 nucleotides) under Carica papaya (papaya). RNAcentral describes it as "long non-coding RNA (CPAP_LNC002953)". Lineage: Eukaryota; Viridiplantae; Streptophyta; Magnoliopsida; Brassicales; Caricaceae. The record is from RNAcentral.
CGUUGAUUGGACUACUGUUUCAUGAGUUCUUGAAUCUUUGACCAUAUACAUGUAGACUGUGGUCUAAGUUGACCUGAACUAGUUUUAUCGAUAAAAUUGAUGAUGAUCGGUGGAAAUUUUCUAUAGGUUGUCAAACCUAAUUUUCGAAGUAGUUUGUAGGGGGACUGAUGGGGGAGAGGACCAAAAAGGUUUAAACGGUUGCUGAAUGGCCAUGGCGGAAAGCCUGGAGGAAAUUUCCGCUGGGGGACGAUCAUGGAAAGGAGAUUUUUGAAAGCAACAAGUAUUGUUAAAUGUUUUCAUGAUGCUAGAGCUCAAGCGUGAGGGUUUACCAUACACAAGGG